RNAcentral lists this ribosomal RNA (491 nucleotides) under uncultured Arcocellulus. Its description in RNAcentral is "bacterial SSU rRNA". It matches the Rfam family "Bacterial small subunit ribosomal RNA", at positions 95 to 616 of the family's 1533-position model. Lineage: Eukaryota; Bacillariophyta; Thalassiosirophyceae; Cymatosirales; Cymatosiraceae. The record is from RNAcentral.
GUGGCGGACGGGUGAGUAACACGUGAGAAUUUGCCUUUAGGAGGGGGAUAACAGAGUGAAAACGCUGCUAAUACCCCAUAUGCUUUCGAGUGAAAUGGAUUUAUUCGCCUAAAGAGAAGCUCGCGGCUGAUUAGCUUGUUGGUAAGGUAAUGGCUUACCAAGGCGACGAUCAGUAUCUGGUUUGAGAGGACGAUCAGACACACUGGAACUGAGACACGGUCCAGACUCCUACGGGAGGCAGCAGUGGGGAAUUUUCCGCAAUGGGCGAAAGCCUGACGGAGCAAUACCGCGUGAGGGAUGACUGCCUAUGGGUUGUAAACCUCUUUUCUCAGGGAGGAAAUCAAUGACGUUACCUGAGGAAUAAGCAUCGGCUAACUCCGUGCCAGCAGCCGCGGUAAGACGGAGGAUGCAAGUGUUAUCCGGAAUCACUGGGCGUAAAGCGUCUGUAGGUGGCUUAACAAGUCAACUGUUAAAUCUUGAAGCUCAACUUC